This 502-nucleotide ribosomal RNA is filed under the name uncultured bacterium. Its description in RNAcentral is "partial 16S ribosomal RNA". It matches the Rfam family "Bacterial small subunit ribosomal RNA", at positions 28 to 506 of the family's 1533-position model. The record is from RNAcentral.
GACGAACGCUGGCGGCGUGCUUAACACAUGCAAGUCGAACGGUGAAGCGCUUUCCUUUUUGGUUGGUGUGGAUGAGUGGCGAACGGGUGAGUAACACGUGAGUAACCUGCCCCCUUCUUCUGGAUAACCGCAUGAAAGUGUGGCUAAUACGGGAUAUUCUGCGCCUGCUGCAUGGUGGGUGUGGGAAAGAUUGUGCCUUUGGGUGUUUUCGGUGGGGGAUGGGCUCACGGCCUAUCAGCUUGUUGGUGGGGUGAUGGCCUACCAAGGCGGUGACGGGUAGCCGGCCUGAGAGGGUGGACGGUCACACUGGGACUGAGACACGGCCCAGACUCCUACGGGAGGCAGCAGUGGGGAAUAGUGCACAAUGGGCGCAAGCCUGAUGCAGCGACGCCGCGUGAGGGAUGGAGGCCUUCGGGUUGUGAACCUCUUUCGCCAGUGAAGCAGGCCUGCUCCUUGUGGGUGGGUUGACGGUAGCUGGAUAAGAAGCGCCGGCUAACUACGU